This 483-nucleotide ribosomal RNA is filed under the name uncultured bacterium. RNAcentral describes it as "partial 16S ribosomal RNA". It matches the Rfam family "Bacterial small subunit ribosomal RNA", at positions 30 to 507 of the family's 1533-position model. The record is from RNAcentral.
AUUGAACGCUGGCGGCAGGCCUAACACAUGCAAGUCGAGCGGAUGAAGGGAGCUUGCUCCUGGAUUCAGCGGCGGACGGGUGAGUAAUGCCUAGGAAUCUGCCUGGUAGUGGGGGAUAACGUCCGGAAACGGGCGCUAAUACCGCAUACGUCCUGAGGGAGAAAGUGGAGAUCUUCGGACCUCACGCUAUCAGAUGAGCCUAGGUCGGAUUAGCUAGUUGGUGGGGUAAAGGCCUACCAAGGCGACGAUCCGUAACUGGUCUGAGAGGAUGAUCAGUCACACUGGAACUGAGACACGGUCCAGACUCCUACGGGAGGCAGCAGUGGGGAAUAUUGGACAAUGGGCGAAAGCCUGAUCCAGCCAUGCCGCGUGUGUGAAGAAGGUCUUCGGAUUGUAAAGCACUUUAAGUUGGGAGGAAGGGCAGUAAGUUAAUACCUUGCUGUUUUGACGUUACCAACAGAAUAAGCACCGGCUAACUUCGUG